CAGCAAUGGAGAGUGGCAGACGGGUGAGUAACGCGUGGGAACCUACCCUUUGGUUCGGAAUAGCCCAGGGAAACUUGGGGUAAUACCGGAUAAGCCCUUCGGGGGAAAGAUUUAUCGCCAUAGGAUGGGCCCGCGUCGGAUUAGCUAGUUGGUGGGGUAACGGCCUACCAAGGCUACGAUCCGUAGCUGGUCUGAGAGGAUGAUCAGCCACACUGGGACUGAGACACGGCCCAGACUCCUACGGGAGGCAGCAGUGGGGAAUAUUGGACAAUGGGCGCAAGCCUGAUCCAGCCAUGCCGCGUGAGUGACGAAGGUCUUCGGA
Molecule: ribosomal RNA, 322 nt
Filed under: uncultured bacterium
Lineage: Bacteria
Description: bacterial SSU rRNA
Rfam family: Bacterial small subunit ribosomal RNA
Source: RNAcentral